UGGCAAGGCGCAGGGCCGGGUGAGGUGGGCGGGGCGGGGAACGCCUGGGCCGGAUUAACCACCCCCCCAGGCCGAUUCCCUAUCAACAGUUUAUUUCUUGAGCACCUUUGGGCCAGGAGCUGAGUCCGUGAUCUGGGCAAACUGUUAAGGCCUCUCUGUGCCUCACUUUCCUUGUCCGUACAAUGGGGCUAAGCACAGACCCCACCUACUGGGUUGUAAGGAUGACUCGCUGAGUUGAUCCAUGCAGAGUCCUGACACACACGGAGAGCUCAAACACGAAAUACUGGUGGUGCCGUCAGUCGGCCAGCAAGCGUCAUGUGCAAAGGCCCUGCAGUGGCCUGUACCAGAUGGCCGCGGAGGGUAUGGAGGGGGUGAGGGUGCAGGCAGGGCGGGGUUUCCUGUGAUGCCAGGAGCUCUGAGCUCGGGAGGGCACUGUGUGAUGACUACAGGGCAGAGGGCAGCCGGGCAGGGGCUGCUGCGGUGCGAGGCAGAAAAGAGCUGGCAGCGCGCAGAGGUGCCGAGAAGUGUGGCCCAGACAGGGUGCAUCCUGGAGGCCGAAUCGGCAGCACUGCCCAGGGCAUAGGAAAAAGAAAAUCGAGAGGGUCUGGUGGUCCCAAGGCUUCAGGGGAAGGGGGGGCACCUCGCCUGCCGCGAGGGAGGCAGCGUUGGAACAUUAGAGGGGCCUCGGAAAGGGUGGGGUCCAGGUGAUCUGGGCAGGGGCGGGGCCCGCAGUGUGGCCUUGGCAGUGGCAUGGGAAAGGCAGGGAGCAAGCCGUGCUGACAGCCUCCCAACCAAGAGGACAAGAGCCCCACGCCUGCCCGGCUGCUGAUCAUCCACGCCCUGCCACCCUCAGGGCUCUGGUGGACAUUCUGCGGCACCAGGGGGGCCCUGGGACCCGCCCGGACCGAGCCCGAAGCAGCUCCCUGACCCCGGGUAUCGGUGGUUCCGACAGCAUGGGCCCCAGGACGCCGAAGAACCUCUACAACACCAUGAAGCCGUCCAACCUCGACUGGCGCCCGGUGCCCCCACCCAGUCCCCCACUGCACUACUCCACGCUGUCCUGCUCACGGUCCUUCCACAACCUGUCACACCUGCCCCCCUCCUACGAGGCGGCCAUGAAGUCGGAGCUGAACCGGUACUCCUCCCUCAAGAGGCUGGGUGAGUCCACCAGGGGGCAGCCCCCGGGGCAGAUCAGGCUGGGUGGGUCAGGCCCAAGGGCAGUGUCUAGCUCUAUCCAGAGGCCCAAAAGCUGUCAUCUGAAGCCCGGUGUGGUGGUGCACGCCUGUGAUCCCAGCACCUGGGAGGCUGAGGCAGCAAGUGUGAGUUCGACGCCAGCCUGGGCUAUCAAGAGAGACCCACUCUCAAAGCUCCCAGGCCUGGCUCCCAGUUUUGAUCACAGCCAUUCCUGAACCAGCUGCUGGCAGUGACGGCUUUCACACACUUUAAUCUGGGAGCUCAGGAGAAAAUGAGCAUUUGAAGCCCACAUAAGUGCACAUAUUAAUUACAGAAAAGUUUGAAGCUUUUAUUAGUGGACAUUUUCAAAUAUUUGCAAAAGCAGAGAAAAUUAAACAUAAGUUCCUUCACCUGCUUUAGCACUGCGCUUACAAACGACCCCAGGUACCAUGUCCUUUCACCCUCCAGCACUUCGCUCUCACGGCCUGAGGUCUGAAGCCGUCUCCUCCCCUUACCCCGCCGACUGAGGGCGCUGUUUCUUGGAGAAGGGGGAGGAGAGGGGAGGAGGGAGGCUCCGGGCCCAGGCCUGGGGUGCAGCGCGGCUCGGCCGCCCGCGACCUCGCGCCC
RNAcentral lists this long non-coding RNA (1800 nucleotides) under Fukomys damarensis (Damara mole-rat). Its description in RNAcentral is "lncRNA (ENSFDAG00000031441.1)". Lineage: Eukaryota; Metazoa; Chordata; Mammalia; Rodentia; Bathyergidae. The record is from RNAcentral.